RNAcentral lists this ribosomal RNA (252 nucleotides) under uncultured bacterium. RNAcentral describes it as "partial 16S ribosomal RNA". It matches the Rfam family "Bacterial small subunit ribosomal RNA", at positions 524 to 776 of the family's 1533-position model. The record is from RNAcentral.
UACGUAGGUCCCGAGCGUUGUCCGGAUUUAUUGGGCGUAAAGCGAGCGCAGGCGGUUUGAUAAGUCAGAAGUAAAAGGCUGUGGCUCAACCAUAGUACGCUUUUGAAACUGUCAAACUUGAGUGCAGAAGGGGGGAGUGGAAUUCCAUGUGUAGCGGUGAAAUGCGUAGAUAUAUGGAGGAACACCGGUGGCGAAAGCGGCUCUCUGGUCUGUAACUGACGCUGAGGCUCGAAAGCGUGGGGAGCAAACAGG